Molecule: ribosomal RNA, 255 nt
Filed under: uncultured bacterium
Lineage: Bacteria
Description: partial 16S ribosomal RNA
Rfam family: Bacterial small subunit ribosomal RNA
Source: RNAcentral
UACGUAGGGUGCAAGCGUUAAUCGGAAUUACUGGGCGUAAAGCGUGCGCAGGCGGUUUUGUAAGUCUGUCGUGAAAUCCCCGGGCUCAACCUGGGGAAUUGCGAUGGAGACUGCAAGGCUAGAAUCUGGCAGAGGGGGGUAGAAUUCCACGUGUAGCAGUGAAAUGCGUAGAGAUGUGGAGGAACACCGAUGGCGAAGGCAGCCCCCUGGGUCAAGAUUGACGCUCAUGCACGAAAGGCGUGGGGAGCAAACAGG